This 497-nucleotide ribosomal RNA is filed under the name uncultured bacterium. RNAcentral describes it as "partial 16S ribosomal RNA". It matches the Rfam family "Bacterial small subunit ribosomal RNA", at positions 28 to 507 of the family's 1533-position model. The record is from RNAcentral.
GAUGAACGCUGGCGGCGUGCCUAAUACAUGCAAGUCGAGCGAACAGAUAAGGAGCUUGCUCCUUUGACGUUAGCGGCGGACAGGUGAGUAACACGUGGGUAACCUACCUAUAAGACUGGGAUAACUUCGGGAAACCGGAGCUAAUACCGGAUAAUAUUUCGAACCGCAUGGUUCGAUAGUGAAAGAUGGUUUUGCUAUCACUUAUAGAUGGACCCGCGCCGUAUUAGCUAGUUGGUAAGGUAACGGCUUACCAAGGCGACGAUACGUAGCCGACCUGAGAGGGUGAUCGGCCACACUGGAACUGAGACACGGUCCAGACUCCUACGGGAGGCAGCAGUAGGGAAUCUUCCGCAAUGGGCGAAAGCCUGACGGAGCAACGCCGCGUGAGUGAUGAAGGUCUUCGGAUCGUAAAACUCUGUUAUUAGGGAAGAACAUACGUGUAAGUAACUGUGCACGUCUUGACGGUACCUAAUCAGAAAGCCACGGCUAACUACGUG